UAACACAUACAUAUAAUUGUUAGUUGC
RNAcentral lists this small RNA (27 nucleotides) under Bombyx mori (domestic silkworm). RNAcentral describes it as "ovarian small RNA-2843". The record is from RNAcentral. Lineage: Eukaryota; Metazoa; Arthropoda; Insecta; Lepidoptera; Bombycidae.